GGGCCCGCACAAGCAGUGGAGUAUGUGGUUUAAUUCGAAGCAACGCGAAGAACCUUACCAGGUCUUGACAUCUAUCGAAUCCGGCAGAGAUGCUGGAGUGCCCUUCGGGGAACGGUAAGACAGGUGGUGCAUGGUUGUCGUCAGCUCGUGUCGUGAGAUGUUGGGUUAAGUCCCGCAACGAGCGCAACCCUUGUGAUUAGUUGCUACGUAAGAGCACUCUAAUCAGACUGCCGUUGACAAAACGGAGGAAGGUGGGGACGACGUCAAAUCAUCAUGCCCCUUAUGACCUGGGCUACACACGUACUACAAUGGCCGUUAACAGAGGGACGCGAAACCGCGAGGCGGAGCAAACCCCCAAAAACGGUCUCAGUUCGGAUCGCAGGCUGAAACCCGCCUGCGUGAAGCUGGAAUUGCUAGUAAUCGCGGAUCAUAAUGCCGCGGUGAAUACGUUCCCGGGCCUUGUACACACCGCCCGUCACACCAUGGGAGCCGGUAAUACCCGAAGUCGGUUGUCUAACCGCAAGGAGGACGCCGCCGAAGGUAGGAUUGGCGACUGGGGUGAAGUCGUAACAAGGUAGCCGUAUCGGAAGGUGCGGCU
Molecule: ribosomal RNA, 598 nt
Filed under: uncultured bacterium
Lineage: Bacteria
Description: bacterial SSU rRNA
Rfam family: Bacterial small subunit ribosomal RNA
Source: RNAcentral